GAGCGUAUAGCUCAGUGGUAGAGUACAUGCUUAGCAUGCAUGAGGUCCUGGGUUCAAUCCUCAGUACUUCCA
This 72-nucleotide transfer RNA is filed under the name Camelus bactrianus (Bactrian camel). It matches the Rfam family "tRNA". From Rfam's summary of the family: Transfer RNA (tRNA) molecules are approximately 80 nucleotides in length. Their secondary structure includes four short double-helical elements and three loops (D, anti-codon, and T loops). Further hydrogen bonds mediate the characteristic L-shaped molecular structure. tRNAs have two regions of fundamental functional importance: the anti-codon, which is responsible for specific mRNA codon recognition, and the 3' end, to which the tRNAs corresponding amino acid is attached (by aminoacyl-tRNA synthetases). tRNAs cope with the degeneracy of the genetic code in two manners: having more than one tRNA (with a specific anti-codon) for a particular amino acid; and 'wobble' base-pairing, i.e. permitting non-standard base-pairing at the 3rd anti-codon position. Lineage: Eukaryota; Metazoa; Chordata; Mammalia; Artiodactyla; Camelidae. RNAcentral also lists the same sequence under 3 other names. The record is from Rfam by way of RNAcentral.